Molecule: ribosomal RNA, 433 nt
Filed under: uncultured bacterium
Lineage: Bacteria
Description: partial 16S ribosomal RNA
Rfam family: Bacterial small subunit ribosomal RNA
Source: RNAcentral
AACGAACGCUGGCGGCAUGCCUAACACAUGCAAGUCGAACGAGACCUUCGGGUCUAGUGGCGCACGGGUGCGUAACGCGUGGGAACCUGCCCUUAGGUUCGGAAUAACUCCCCGAAAGGGGUGCUAAUACCGGAUGAUGUCUUCGGACCAAAGAUUUAUCGCCUUUGGAUGGGCCCGCGUUGGAUUAGCUAGUUGGUAGGGUAAAAGCCUACCAAGGCGACGAUCCAUAGCUGGUCUGAGAGGAUGAUCAGCCACACUGGGACUGAGACACGGCCCAGACUCCUACGGGAGGCAGCAGUGGGGAAUAUUGGACAAUGGGCGAAAGCAUGAUCCAGCAAUGCCGCGUGAGUGAUGAAGGCCUUAGGGUUGUAAAGCUCUUUUACCCGGGAUGAUAAUGACAGUACCGGGAGAAUAAGCUCCGGCUAACUCCGUG